This 497-nucleotide ribosomal RNA is filed under the name uncultured bacterium. RNAcentral's name for it is "partial 16S ribosomal RNA". It matches the Rfam family "Bacterial small subunit ribosomal RNA", at positions 28 to 507 of the family's 1533-position model. The record is from RNAcentral.
GACGAACGCUGGCGGCGUGCCUAAUACAUGCAAGUAGAACGCUGAAGAGAGGAGCUUGCUCUUCUUGGAUGAGUUGCGAACGGGUGAGUAACGCGUAGGUAACCUGCCUGGUAGCGGGGGAUAACUAUUGGAAACGAUAGCUAAUACCGCAUAACAACAGUUGUUGCAUGACAGCUGUUUAAAAGAUGCAAUUGCAUCACUACCAGAUGGACCUGCGUUGUAUUAGCUAGUUGGUGAGGUAACGGCUCACCAAGGCGACGAUACAUAGCCGACCUGAGAGGGUGAUCGGCCACACUGGGACUGAGACACGGCCCAGACUCCUACGGGAGGCAGCAGUAGGGAAUCUUCGGCAAUGGGGGGAACCCUGACCGAGCAACGCCGCGUGAGUGAAGAAGGUUUUCGGAUCGUAAAGCUCUGUUGUAAGAGAAGAACGGGUGUGAGAGUGGAAAGUUCACACUGUGACGGUAUCUUACCAGAAAGAGACGGCUAACUACGUG